This 476-nucleotide ribosomal RNA is filed under the name Salmonella enterica. RNAcentral describes it as "partial 23S ribosomal RNA". It matches the Rfam family "Bacterial large subunit ribosomal RNA", at positions 137 to 651 of the family's 2925-position model. RNAcentral also lists the same sequence under 2 other names. The record is from RNAcentral. Lineage: Bacteria; Pseudomonadati; Pseudomonadota; Gammaproteobacteria; Enterobacterales; Enterobacteriaceae.
GAUUCGUCACACUAUCAUUAACUGAAUCCAUAGGUUAAUGAGGCGAACCGGGGGAACUGAAACAUCUAAGUACCCCGAGGAAAAGAAAUCAACCGAGAUUCCCCCAGUAGCGGCGAGCGAACGGGGAGGAGCCCAGAGCCUGAAUCAGCAUGUGUGUUAGUGGAAGCGUCUGGAAAGGCGCGCGAUACAGGGUGACAGCCCCGUACACAAAAGCGCAUGUGCUGUGAGCUCGAUGAGUAGGGCGGGACACGUGGUAUCCUGUCUGAAUAUGGGGGGACCAUCCUCCAAGGCUAAAUACUCCUGACUGACCGAUAGUGAACCAGUACCGUGAGGGAAAGGCGAAAAGAACCCCGGCGAGGGGAGUGAAAAAGAACCUGAAACCGUGUACGUACAAGCAGUGGGAGCACCCUUCGGGGUGUGACUGCGUACCUUUUGUAUAAUGGGUCAGCGACUUAUAUUCUGUAGCAAGGUUAACC